CACGUAUUUAGCCGUCACUUCUUCUGUUGGUACCGUCAUUUCUUUCUUCCCAACUGAAAGCACUUUACAUUCCGAAAAACUUCAUCGUGCACACAGAAUUGCUGGAUCAGACUCUUGGUCCAUUGUCCAAUAUUCCCCACUGCUGCCUCCCGUAGGAGUAAGGGCCGUGUCUCAGUCCCCUUGUGGCCGAUCACCCUCUCAGGCCGGCUACCCAUCAUCGCCUUGGUGAGCCGUUACCUCUCCAACUAGCUAAUGGGACGCAAAGCUCUCUCACAGUGCAUUUAGCUUUUCAUAAUUAUAGGAUGCCCUAUUAUCAUAAUAUUAGGUAUUAGCAUUCGUUUCCAAAUGUUGUCCCUAGCUGUGAGGCAAGUUCUUUACGCGUUACUCACCCGUCCGCCACCCAAACCUAAGUUAAAAACCUAAAUUCAAGUAGACUUGCAUGUGUUAAGCAUUCUGUCAGCGUUCAUCCUGAGCCAGGAUCAAAACUCU
RNAcentral lists this ribosomal RNA (489 nucleotides) under uncultured Fusobacterium sp. RNAcentral describes it as "partial 16S ribosomal RNA". Lineage: Bacteria; Fusobacteriati; Fusobacteriota; Fusobacteriia; Fusobacteriales; Fusobacteriaceae. The record is from RNAcentral.